CUGCAUCUCAAGGUUAGAUUCAUUCAUAUAAAUAAUGAAAUGUAUCUUUAUCAAUUUAUACAAAUAUACUGAGAGUAACAGACUUAUAAAUGAAGUAUCGAUUUAACUUAUAACAUACUCUUGAUAAUUGCUUGUUAAUCAUCAAAAUAACACUAUCAUCCUCAAUCUCCUCCUUUUUGAUGAUUACAAAAUAAAGAGUAUGAGCCUAUUCAUACUUAUCUUAAAAUUAGUUUUAAAAGGGCUUAACUUGCUGAAAUUCAGCUUUUCAAAAUAUAAGAGUGAAGUCUCCCCCUAUAUCAUUCAAAUAUUGCCAAUUUGACUUUUUGAAUUGCUCCCCCUUUCAUUUAUAAUUCAUUAAAGAUGAAACUCCAAAAAUUUGAGAUAAAACAUGAGUUUCAGAUUAUGUAUCGAGGUGUGAAAGGUGCGUGCCAAAUUCUGAAAUUCUAUGUGCCAAAUUCUGAGAUUUGAUAGAAAUUUUUGAUUUGAUCAUUUUCAUUGUUACAAAUUGCUCCCCCUUAAAUGUAUAUGCUUUCCUAUAUGAUUU
RNAcentral lists this long non-coding RNA (544 nucleotides) under Phoenix dactylifera (date palm). RNAcentral's name for it is "long non-coding RNA (PDAC_LNC012149)". The record is from RNAcentral. Lineage: Eukaryota; Viridiplantae; Streptophyta; Magnoliopsida; Arecales; Arecaceae.